UGAGUAAUGUCUGGGAAACUGCCUGAUGGAGGGGGAUAACUACUGGAAACGGUAGCUAAUACCGCAUAACGUCGCAAGACCAAAGAGGGGGACCUUCGGGCCUCUUGCCAUCAGAUGUGCCCAGAUGGGAUUAGCUAGUAGGUGGGGUAAUGGCUCACCUAGGCGACGAUCCCUAGCUGGUCUGAGAGGAUGACCAGCCACACUGGAACUGAGACACGGUCCAGACUCCUACGGGAGGCGGCAGUGGGGAAUAUUGCACAAUGGGCGCAAGCCUGAUGCAGCCAUGCCGCGUGUGUGAGGAAGGCCUUCGGGUUGUAAAGCACUUUCAGCGAGGAGGAAGGUGGUGAGCUUAAUACGCUCAUCAAUUGACGUUACUCGCAGAAGAAGCACCGGCUAACUCCGUGCCAGCAGCCGCGGUAAUACGGAGGGUGCAAGCGUUAAUCGGAAUUACUGGGCGUAAAGCGCACGCAGGCGGUUUGUUAAGUCAGAUGUGAAAUCCCCGGG
This 504-nucleotide ribosomal RNA is filed under the name uncultured bacterium. RNAcentral describes it as "bacterial SSU rRNA". It matches the Rfam family "Bacterial small subunit ribosomal RNA", at positions 107 to 607 of the family's 1533-position model. The record is from RNAcentral.